GCCGGGGUGGCGAAACUGGUAGACGCAUCAGACUCAAAAUCUGACGGUGGCAACACCGUGCCGGUUCGAGUCCGGCCCCCGGUACCA
This 87-nucleotide transfer RNA is filed under the name Thioalkalicoccus limnaeus. Its description in RNAcentral is "tRNA-Leu". It matches the Rfam family "tRNA". From Rfam's summary of the family: Transfer RNA (tRNA) molecules are approximately 80 nucleotides in length. Their secondary structure includes four short double-helical elements and three loops (D, anti-codon, and T loops). Lineage: Bacteria; Pseudomonadati; Pseudomonadota; Gammaproteobacteria; Chromatiales; Chromatiaceae. The record is from RNAcentral. RNAcentral also lists the same sequence under 1 other name.